CUCCUAGUAAAUAAUACUAGGUAGACUCUGCCCAAUGACAAUUGAAUGGCCGCAGUAUUCUGACUGUGCUAAGGUAGCAUAAUAACUUGUCUCUUAAAUAGAGACUUGAAUGAAGGAGCUGACACAGAAUUUUCUGUCUUAAUUAUAAAAUUUAAUUUACCUUUAAAGUCAAAAGGCUUUAAACUUUAAGGGGACGACAAGACCCUAUAAAACUUUACCUUUAAGCAUGAUAAACUUAAGAGUUGUUUCUUCAAAUAAAAGGUUUUACUGGGGCGGUAAUAGUUUAUUUAAUAUCAUCUAUUAUUACAACUAGUUGUAUGAGUUUUACAAUCUUAAUUAUAAAAUUAAUAACAAGUUACUUUAGGGAUAACAGCAUAAUAUUUUCUUAGAGUCCUUAUCGCCGAAAUUGUUUAUGACCUCGAUGUUGAAUUGAAGUUCCUUUAUAGAGCAGCUUUUAUAAAAGGNAGUCUGUUCGACUUUUAANUCUUC
Molecule: ribosomal RNA, 489 nt
Filed under: Frontoserolis waegelei
Lineage: Eukaryota; Metazoa; Arthropoda; Malacostraca; Isopoda; Serolidae
Description: partial 16S ribosomal RNA
Rfam family: Bacterial large subunit ribosomal RNA
Source: RNAcentral